UACAAAUUGUGCCUAGCAGAGCUCCUCUCCAAAUAAUUGACAAAUAUAACUUGGUGAAAUUGGAUACAGAGGAAAAGUUAUUUAAUCUAUCUUUUGCUCUCAGUUCCCUUCCUCCCUCUGGAGCGGCCUUCGGGUGCUCGCUCUAGACUCUCCUCCCUCAUUCCUCUGGAGCGGCCUUCGGGUGCUCGCUCUAGACUCUCCUCCCUCCUUCCUCUGGAGCGGCCUUCGGGUGCUCGCUCUAGAACUCCCACCCCUCCCCCCUCUUCGCCCCUCUCGACCAUAUUCUGCACUACCCUCCCCUCCUCCUGCCCAACAGAGGGCUGGCAAGAAACACCCUAAGGGGAACAAGGUGUGUGGCCAAGAGCAUCAGGGAUACUUCUCUGGACCUGUGUACGCCGUGGCAUCCAGCCCAGAAUACAGCCUCUCCAGCACCAGCCCCGAAGGGCACCCGAUCUGACUAUGCGGCGAGGGAUUUUAAAAUCCUCCUCCGGAUGCUGCAGGAGAGGGAGUGUAACGUAGUGGUGAUGCUGCUGCCCCCUGUGCCACGCUUCCAGCCGGGCAGCAGGCAGGAGCUGUACCGCGAGUGGCUCAACUGCCACAUGCAGAGCACCGCAGAAAGCAUGAACAUCCGCGUAAUUAACGCAGACACGAUUUUUCGUAGAUGGGAUGGUUCCGUGAAGUCGGAGUUUUUUGAGAGGUUCAUGGGUGCUGAAAGGAGACCCGACAACAUUCACUGGAACGAAAAAGGGAUGAAGGCACUUGUGCAUUUCCUGAAGAAAUGUUUGUAAAUACAAGCGGACCUACAAUUAUAUAUAACCUUUUUUGAAGGCGUGGUAUUUUUAAGUGAAAACAAUUACACGAAUAAUAUGAGUAACUUAUUUAAGAUUAAAUCUGAAUUCAGUAAUAGGGAAAGGAUUUAUAGCACCAAAUUUUAUAUAAAUAAUGUUUAAUUUUUAAUUUUUUUUUAAUUUGCAAUAGGUAAAUAUUUAAAAUGAAAACAAUUGAGAAAAAAAAGUGUAAUGAAAUAUAUGAACUAAACAAAUAAAUUUGUAGGUUAGAAUUUUUUGUUAAUGAACGUGCGAGUAAAUUUGGUAGGAACUCAUGUAAAAUACUCACUGCAAUACCAUACUGUAUUUGCUUAAUGUAUGGUUCUUUAAAUAUACUUCAAAAAAUUUUACGCACUAUUUACAUCUUUAUGUAAUAUUUAAAUUAGCACGUAUAUUUACAGUGCGUUUUCAGGGCGUUUGGAAUGUCUAAUUCAGAAGGCAGAAACCUCAAAUCUUUAAGUGUGCAGCCAAAUUUUUUUUCCAAGUCUAGCAAGUAACACACAAUCUCAAGUCAACUCUUUCCCUAAGAAAAAUUUCCUUCCCAGCUUGACUCUUACUUUGUAGAAUAGUUGUAGGAACAUUAGAAGUUCUACUUGACUACAAAAUUCACAUCUUGCAUUCACGAACCACUUGCUGUGUGUGUGCUGUGUGCGUCAGAUUUUAACCUCGCGUUCUUUUUUCAUAUUUGUUCUUGGUUCUAGUCAUGUUAAAAACAGGUCAAGAAAAAUAAAUCAACCAACUUCACCCUCUUGAUGUGAUAUUGAAACACAUUUUCCUGUUAUAAUAUUUUUCUGAUAUUAAUCGCAAUAGAAUUUGAUAUUUUGCUAUUCAUUCAAGUCAAUAACUUUUUCAGCCAUCAAAUUUAUUAAAAACUUUGCUACAACUUCAUGGUCUAAAAACAGGUUACUAUUGUUUGUCAAAAAAUGAGCUAGCCUGAUUAGCGACUGAUAAUACGAGAGGUGCCUUGUGUGUCUAGUAACUAGGGCCAGCAUUCCUAAAGAUGAUGGAAUCCAAUAGUAAUGUCACACGUGUUCUAGGCGAUUAACAAUAAACAAAGCAAGGCAGCUGUUUACGACCUCAGAUGUCUUUCUUAGGAAUUUUGGUUCAAAGAUUAAUUUCAAGUAUUCUGUAAACUGGUGUCAUAAACAGUAAUGCUGAUGAAAUAUUUUUACUGACGUCCGUAUAUGAACGUAUUUCUUCGUAAUAGAGAAUGACAAUUGCGCUGUCUGGAUGGUAUCAAUGUGUGGGUUUUGAAAUAAAACAACCAAAUUGAAAUAAUUUCUACGUUAUAGGAAAUUAUACGUUAUAUCGAAAGACGUUAUAAAGAGUUUACACUGUAGUAGAAACAUGUGUCCAUCUAGUCAUCAUAAUUAUUUACUUACACUCUUUAUUUAUUAAUUAAAGUGUAUCUCCUCUGCGGGUUGCGAUUUGCUAGUAGUCCUGUCUCGAAUGUCGAUGCCUCUGGUGCUGAAACAGCUUGGUUUAAUAUAGAUUUAUCGUAAAUUUAUUGCUAAAAUUAUUCGUUGAGUUUUCUUCUUAUAAUAUAUUCUUCGAUAAUUAUAUUUUAUACAAAUUCAAUAUUCUCAAUGUAAAGUUCCGUUCAUCUAUUACGGGAGCAAUGCCAAAACACGUCAGCUCGCUUGGGAGGAUUUUAUUCUUCUCCUAUAAUUUUUUUACAGAAAUUAUUUAUCGUUGCUACUAACAACUGAAAAUAGUCCUCUGAAAAACAUAUGCUGGUCUCUCUAAUAUUCAGCUUCAUGCGUUCCCUGACCAAUCACAACAAUCGUUUUAAAUUUCAAUGGGUUUUAAAAAUCCAUUAAAAGAUUGCCUUAAUUGAUGGAUACUCGCUGAAAGUCUACAUUUAUUAAUUCAACGACGUCACAAUUAUUGAUCCAUGAAUUCAUUUCAAAUGAUAAAUUUUAAAGUAAUUUUUACUUAUGUAUAAAUUGUAACUAAACUUUUCAUUGGCUGCCUCAACAUAUCACAAAUAAACCCAUAGAUAACAUGCCAGUAUUGUACAUAAUAAAUAACAAAAAAAAAGGAAGUAUGAUUUUGACAUAGCAAAGAGAAUUAGUAUUUUUCCCUUCAGUUCAAGAAAAUGUCACUAUCUGUAAAGGCGUUACUUUACCCUUUACAUUGGGGCAGUUCAUUAGCACAUUGAUUUUCAUGUGAACUGUAAAGUAGCCAAAUGUUUGUAGGUACCUAUUUUAAAUUUCAUAACUUUUAUGGAGAUUCUAUUCUGUGGCUUUCUACAUGUAAACUAUGUACAAUAAAUAUCCCUGUACAGUCGGUCAUCUCGUUCGUUCAAAUAAAAUUGAUAAGAUUUCAGUAAUAUUUUCUUAGUACAAGAGCCAAAUUGCUACAUGCAAGUGGUGUCACAAUAAAUGGACUUGUGAUCAGAAUUUCACAUAAAUUGACAUGCAAACUAAACUUAUUUGAUAGUGUAAAAAUAGGGUAGGUGUAAAUAUAAAUGACUGUUGGGGUUUGUUCAACGGUACUAGCGACAUAAACGUUAAAUAAGUAAAGUCAUUUCAUUUGAUCUGAUAUGCAUAUGUUAUUUUCAUAACCGAAACAAAUAUAGAGAUCCCCAAACCUUUGGGGCAAAUGUAGUCACAGCUCCUUAAUCAUAUCUGCGACGUGUGCUAUAGAGUAUCUCGGAAGGUAUAAUACCUGAAUAAAUUUCUUUUACGAUUACAACUCCCCCACUUCAACUAACACAUUUCAAUUUUUAAUAACGCACUAGCUUAUUCAGUUUUAUAAUAUUGUAGCCUAUAUGAUAUUAAUAUUUCAUCAAUUUUAUUAAUGUGAAUGAAGGUAUUUAAGAAAUAAAUACAUAUGUAUAUUUUAGUGUUUACGCUCACAUUCACUAAGAUGAUGAAAUAUACAAAAAUUGCGAAUGUACAAUAAAUUAUGAGCGUAUCUAUAAUAAAGAAAUGCUUUAGUGAGCAGAAUAUAAGGUGAACUAUUUGCAGUAAUACUCGCAGCAACGUGCUUGAAAAAGUAAGCCAUAAAUUGCACCAUUAUUAAACAUCUUAUGCUACAUUGCAAAAAAGUGCUUUAAUAUCUUUCACACUUGGGGUUGACUAAAUUUGGAAUAAAAUAUUCUAUUUACACAUUGAUAUCACGUUCCUUAAACCGUACAAGCACAUUUGUUGAAAUGCAGCAUGUACUUUGGCUGGUGUACAAUAAAUUAACAGCAUCUUUCAUGUACUUUCUUUUAAUAAUUCUUGGGAAUUUUUUUCCAGAACUAAUUGAUAUGUUCUCACCCCUUAUAUACAGGUAAAGAGAUGCUGGCCCGUUACCAUCACAUACAAGGUCUCAAUAUUAUUUAAACAAUAUUAUUAUAAUGUAUUGUUAUUGUGGUGACUAGCGAAUGAAUGCAGCAGAUUCCAACUCUUCAGAAUUGUUUCCAGUAGACGCAGCGUCGCACUGCGUGGCCGCGACUGGUUGAUAAUCGCUGGCUCCUCUGUGACAUUGUGGGCAUUGGUGAAUCAAGCUUGUCGUGAAUGUGCAGUGCGCUUACAAACUGACUCCCCUGCAGCAGCUCGUGCGCAGGUCGUCACUGGAUUCUGAUGUACUUUGUAAUAAUUCAUAUUGUUUCUGAACCACAACAGUUGAUAAGCUACGAUCCUCAAUCAAAAAAGGUAAAUUUGAAAUGUGUCGUAACUUUAUCCUUGAGCCUCAUUUAGAAAAUGUUAACAUACCCACCUUUCAUUAUUACUUUUUUUUACGCAAUCCCGUAUAACACUGCAAGUGAUAAAAAAUCUUCCAAUGUAUGAACUUCCCAAUUACAUACAUAUUGAUAAUGCCGAAUGAGGACUUUAAAUAUACACACAUGAAUACUUGCACAUAUAUGUAUAGUAAUUGAAAGAAAAUGUUUGUUUCAAUGUCUCCCCUGUGAAUAAUAAAUGUAUUAUAUGAUUAAAUAUCCGUGUUCUUUGUGGAUUUAACUAGGAAAACCUGCAUAAUUUGUAAUUAUUUAGGUAGGUAUAAAAAAGUACAAUUUAUCUUAAAAUCUUAUGAAUUGUCAUACCUCUAAUGUUAAAUUUUACUCUUGUACAGAUUGCACAUUGUAUCUAAGUAACAUAAUUGAGAUGUCACAGUUAUGCUAAUUAAUACUUAUUAAUUUGUUUCGACAAUGUGUUUUCGAUUCCUUUGACUUCUUGCAAAUGUGUUAUACAUAAAUUAUUACUACAGAGACGUCCCUGAUUAGGUUACCUUGGAAAAGUUCUGACGUCAGCGUGUAUGGUUGUGUUAGUGAAACUUUAAUAAAAUAUUGUAUAUUAAACAAGUGCAUGACAUGGUG
Molecule: RNA transcript, 5133 nt
Organism: Bacillus rossius redtenbacheri
Lineage: Eukaryota; Metazoa; Arthropoda; Insecta; Phasmatodea; Bacillidae
Exons: 4
Source: RefSeq, a predicted model, not a curated record